UAAACUAGGAUUAGAUACCCUAUUAUUAUAAAUGUAAAUUAUUAUACUAAAUUAGUAUUAGUUAUUUUCUUUAAAAUUAAAAAAUUUGGCGGUAUUUUAGUCUUUUCAGAGGAACCUGUCCUGUAAUUGAUAGUCCACGAUUAUAAUUACUUUAAUUUUGAAUUUACAUAUCGUCGUAGUUUGAAUAUUUUAUUAGAAUUAAAAUAUUCAAAAUUUUAUAUUAAAAAAUAAAUCAGAUCAAGGUGUAGUUUAUAUUAAAGAAGAGAUGGGUUACAUUAAAAUUAUUUAAAGAUAAUUUUUUUUAAGAGAAAUUUGAAUUUGGAUUUGAUAGUAAUUUAUUAAAUUUAUUUUAAGUGAGUAUAGCUCUAAAAUAUGUACACAUCGCCCGUCGCUCUUAA
This 398-nucleotide ribosomal RNA is filed under the name Bruchidius cadei. Its description in RNAcentral is "partial 12S small subunit ribosomal RNA". Lineage: Eukaryota; Metazoa; Arthropoda; Insecta; Coleoptera; Chrysomelidae. The record is from RNAcentral.